This 253-nucleotide ribosomal RNA is filed under the name uncultured bacterium. RNAcentral's name for it is "partial 16S ribosomal RNA". It matches the Rfam family "Bacterial small subunit ribosomal RNA", at positions 524 to 776 of the family's 1533-position model. The record is from RNAcentral.
UACGUAGGGUGCAAGCGUUAAUCGGAAUUACUGGGCGUAAAGCGUGCGCAGGCGGUGAUGUAAGACAGAUGUGAAAUCCCCGGGCUCAACCUGGGAACUGCAUUUGUGACUGCAUUGCUGGAGUACGGCAGAGGGGGAUGGAAUUCCGCGUGUAGCAGUGAAAUGCGUAGAUAUGCGGAGGAACACCGAUGGCGAAGGCAAUCCCCUGGGCCUGUACUGACGCUCAUGCACGAAAGCGUGGGGAGCAAACAGG